RNAcentral lists this ribosomal RNA (380 nucleotides) under uncultured eukaryote. RNAcentral describes it as "partial 18S ribosomal RNA". It matches the Rfam family "Eukaryotic small subunit ribosomal RNA", at positions 592 to 976 of the family's 1831-position model. The record is from RNAcentral.
CAAUAGCGUAUAUUAAAGUUGUUGCAGUUAAAAAGCUCGUAGUUGGAUUUGUGGCGUACGGUGUGUUCCGGGCACUUGUUGUCUGAGUAACCUGCUGUUGCCAUCCUUGGGUGGAACCUGUGUGGCAUUAGGUUGUCGUGCAGGGGAUGCCCAUCAUUUACUGUGAAAAAAUUAGAGUGUUCAAAGCAGGCUUAUGCCGUUGAAUAUAUUAGCAUGGAAUAAUGAGAUAGGACUUUUUUGCUAUUUUGUUGGUUUGCGCAAAGAGGUAAUGAUUAAUAGGGACAGUUGGGGGUAUUCGUAUUCCAUUGUCAGAGGUGAAAUUCUUGGAUUUUUGGAAGACGGACUACUGCGAAAGCAUUUACCAAGGAUGUUUUCAUUAA